This is a non-coding RNA of Caenorhabditis elegans, 200 nucleotides long. The record is from Ensembl. NCBI's taxonomy places the organism in Eukaryota, Metazoa, Nematoda, Chromadorea, Rhabditida, Rhabditidae.
UGAAUGAGCGAAUUAUCUAUGGUUGUCGUCGUCGUGUACCACACUAACAAGCAUCAGUGCCCAACAGUAUACUGUCUGUGAGUGAAUGUGUGGCGGCAGUGGCGCCCGAUUGCGAACGAUAAUUAUUAUGUAACCGAUUGUGGCGACGAUGGGGAUGUCGGUAGUAUUGUGACUGGUAAGUAGGAAAAUAAGAGACUAAA